Molecule: ribosomal RNA, 282 nt
Filed under: uncultured bacterium
Lineage: Bacteria
Description: partial 16S ribosomal RNA
Rfam family: Bacterial small subunit ribosomal RNA
Source: RNAcentral
GAUUAACGCUAGCGGGAUGCAUAACACAUGCAAGUCGAGCGGCAGCACUUCGGGUGGCGAGCGGCGAACGGCUGAGUAACACGUUGGUACCUGCCUUGAACUCAGGGAUAACGUCGAGAAAUCGACGCUAAUACCGGAUACCCCAGCAAUGGGAAAGCUUCGGCGGUUCAAGAGGGGCCUGCGACGUAUCAGGUAGUUGGUAGAGUAAUAGCCUACCAAGGCAACGAUACGUAGCCGACCUGAGAGGGUGAUCGGCCACACUGGAACUGAGACACGGUCCAG